Molecule: ribosomal RNA, 492 nt
Filed under: uncultured bacterium
Lineage: Bacteria
Description: partial 16S ribosomal RNA
Rfam family: Bacterial small subunit ribosomal RNA
Source: RNAcentral
AGUGAACGCUGGCGGUAGGCCUAACACUUGCAAGUUGAACGGCAGCACAGUAAGAGCUUGCUCUUACGGGUGGCGAGUGGCGGACGGGUGAGGAAUACAUCGGAAUCUACUUUUUCGUGGGGGAUAACGUAGGGAAACUUACGCUAAUACCGCAUACGACCUACGGGUGAAAGCAGGGGAUCUUCGGACCUUGCGCGAUUGAAUGAGCCGAUGUCGGAUUAGCUAGUUGGCGGGGUAAAGGCCCACCAAGGCGACGAUCCGUAGCUGGUCUGAGAGGAUGAUCAGCCACACUGGAACUGAGACACGGUCCAGACUCCUACGGGAGGCAGCAGUGGGGAAUAUUGGACAAUGGGCGCAAGCCUGAUCCAGCCAUACCGCGUGAGUGAAGAAGGCCUUCGGGUUGUAAAGCCCUUUUGUUGGGAAAGAAAAGCAGCAGGUUAAUACCCCGCUGUUCUGACGGUACCCAAAGAAUAAGCACCGGCUAACUUCGUG